RNAcentral lists this ribosomal RNA (253 nucleotides) under uncultured bacterium. RNAcentral describes it as "partial 16S ribosomal RNA". It matches the Rfam family "Bacterial small subunit ribosomal RNA", at positions 524 to 776 of the family's 1533-position model. The record is from RNAcentral.
UACAGAGGUCUCAAGCGUUGUUCGGAUUUACUGGGCGUAAAGGGUGCGUAGGCGGCGAGGUAAGUCAGAUGUGAAAGCUCAGGGCUUAACCCUGAAACUGCAUCCGAUACUGCCUUGCUGGAGUAGUGGAGGGGAGACUGGAAUUCACGGUGUAGCAGUGAAAUGCGUAGAUAUCGUGAGGAACACUAGUGGCGAAGGCGAGUCUCGGGACACUUACUGACGCUGAGGCACGAAGGCCAGGGGAGCGAAAGGG